This 579-nucleotide long non-coding RNA is filed under the name Durio zibethinus. RNAcentral describes it as "long non-coding RNA (DZIB_LNC002094)". The record is from RNAcentral. Lineage: Eukaryota; Viridiplantae; Streptophyta; Magnoliopsida; Malvales; Malvaceae.
AAAAUUAAAAAAAAAGAGAGCUGAACCAGGAAAAAGCAAAUCUAUAGGUGAUAUUAUUCUAAGCAGAGAUUUAUGUCACCAUUUCUGCUUUGAUUUUACCGUGAAGCCUGUACAUCCCAUCAAAGUUGAAGAUGACAGCUAUAAUGGUGGUGAGUAAGCAGACAAUGGAACAAUUUACAGGUGGAAGUAGCUCAAACUGGGCUCUGUCUUUGCCGCCUCUUUCAAGAAAAAUUUUCAACCCAAAUUUCUUAACAAAUUUCUUAUAACAACAUGCAAAACAAAAGAAAGAAAGGUAAUCUUUGCCAUACUUGUAACAACCCAUAAUGCAAUUUCGAAUUUGAGAAAGGAUAAAAAAAAGAGAGACAAAGAGCAGAUUUUUGUACCAAGAAAGAGUGAGAAUAGAUUUUUGUAGCAAAGAAGGAGUGAGGGUAGGCAGAAUUUUGGAAAGGAAAGGGAAGAAUUUAGGAAACGAGGGGUAGGGAAAAUUGGGAUGAGCUUUAAUUUAGGGUUUCAAUUCGCGGUAUUUAAUGGCAACCACCACUAAAGUAUGUCUUUUAGUGACGUUUAUUAACAAAAAUG